AAUCGAACUCGGAGAUAGCUGGUUCUCCCCGAAAUAGCUUUAGGGCUAGCGUUAGUUUAGAUUACCGGAGGUAAAGCACUGAAUGGUUUAGGGGCUGAUAAAGUUACCGACGCCUAUCAAACUCUGAAUGCCGGAUAAUUGAUGACUAGCAGUCAGACAGUGUGAGAUAAGUUUCAUUGUCAAAAGGGAAACAGCCCAGACCUACAGCUAAGGUCCCAAAUGUAUGCUAAGUGGAAAACGAUGUGGAAUUGCGAAAACAACCAGGAUGUUGGCUUAGAAGCAGCCACACAUUAAAAGAGUGCGUAAUAGCUCACUGGUCGAGUGACUCUGCGCGGAAAAUGUAACGGGGCUAAGCAUGCAACCGAAGCUUAGGAUUGUCUAAAGACAGUGGUAGGGGAGCGUUCUGUAUGGGGUGAAGUCGCAGCGAGAGCAGCGGUGGACUGUACAGAAGUGAGAAUGCCGGAAUGAGUAGCGAGAAUUAUGUGGGAAUCAUAAUGGCCGAAAAUCUAAGGUUUCUUGGGGAAGGUUCGUCCGCCCAAGGUAAGUCGGGAGCUAAGCUCAGGCCGCGAGGCGUAGGCGAUGCACAUACGGUAGAAAUUCCGUAACCACCGAACUUUAAGCAUGAGGGACACUUUGAGAUAGCGGAACCCGGGCGUUGGUUGACCCGGGCGAAAGGGACCGAAAUAUAGUAGGGAAGUCCGCGAUGCUCGGAGGCGAGAAAAGCUCAUGUGUAUACUAAGGUGCCCGUACCGCAAACCGACACAGGUAGAUGAGGAGAGAAUCCUAAGGCCAACGGGAGAAGGGUUGUUAAGGAACUCGGCAAGAUGACCCCGUAACUUCGGAAGAAGGGGAGCCUCGAAAGAGGCCGCAGUGAAUAGGCCCAAGCAACUGUUUACCAAAAACACAGGUUUAUGCUAAAUCGAAAGAUGACGUAUAUGAGCUGACGCCUGCCCGGUGCCGGAAGGUUAAGAGGAGAUGUCAACCGCGAGGUGAAGCAUUGAAUUGAAGCCCCGGUAAACGGCGGCCGUAACUAUAACGGUCCUAAGGUAGCGAAAUUCCUUGUCAGGUAAGUUCUGACCCGCACGAAAGGCGUAACGAUUUGGGCGCUGUCUCAGCUGUAGACUCGGUGAAGUCUUAGUACCUGUGAAGAUGCAGGUUACCCGCGACUAGACGGAAAGACCCCAUGGAGCUUCACUGCAGGUUGAUAUUGGGAUUUGAUGCAGCAUGUACAGGAUAGGUAGGAGGCAAAGAGAUGGAUACGCCAGUAUUCAAGGAGCCGCUGUUGGGAUACUACCCCUGUUGUAUUGGAUUUCUAACCGGACGACGUAGAGCCGUUGACGGGACAGUGUCAGUCGGGCAGUUUGACUGGGGCGGUCGCCUCCCAAAGAGUAACGGAGGCGCCCAAAGAUACCCUCAGCUUGGAUGGAAACCAAGCGCAGAGUGCAAAGGCAAAAGGGUGUUUGACUGCGAGACCCACAAGUCGAGCAGGGACGAAAGUCGGGCUUAGUGAUCCGGCGGUGCUGAAUGGAAAGGCCGUCGCUCAACGGAUAAAAGCUACCCUGGGGAUAACAGGCUGAUCUCCCCCAAGAGUCCACAUCGACGGGGAGGUUUGGCACCUCGAUGUCGGCUCAUCGCAUCCUGGGGCUGUAUUCGGUCCCAAGGGUUUGGCUGUUCGCCAAUUAAAGCGGUACGCGAGCUGGGUUCAGAACGUCGUGAGACAGUUCGGUCCCUAUCUGUCGUGGGCGUAGGAUAUUUGAGGAGCGCUGUUCCUAGUACGAGAGGACCGGAAUGGACGCACCGCUGGUGUAUCGGUUGUCAUGCCAAUGGCACGGCCGAGCAGCUAUGUGCGGAUCGGAUAAACGCUGAAAGCAUCUAAGCGUGAAGCCGUCUCCAAGAUAAGAUAUCCCACUGUUUACAGUUAAGACCCCUUGUAGACUACGAGGUUGAUAGGUUGGAUGUGUAAGUACAGCGAUGUAUUUAGCUAGCCAAUACUAAUAGGUCGAGGGCUUGACCU
Molecule: ribosomal RNA, 2014 nt
Filed under: human gut metagenome
Description: bacterial LSU rRNA
Rfam family: Bacterial large subunit ribosomal RNA
Source: RNAcentral